UGGGGAAUAUUGCACAAUGGGCGCAAGCCUGAUGCAGCCAUGCCGCGUGUAUGAAGAAGGCCUUCGGGUUGUAAAGUACUUUCAGCGGGGAGGAAGGGAGUAAAGUUAAUACCUUUGCUCAUUGACGUUACCCGCAGAAGAAGCACCGGCUAACUCCGUGCCAGCAGCCGCGGUAAUACGGAGGGUGCAAGCGUUAAUCGGAAUUACUGGGCGUAAAGCGCACGCAGGCGGUUUGUUAAGUCAGAUGUGAAAUCCUCGGGCUCAACCUGGGAACUGCAUCUGAUACUGGCGAGCUUGAGUCUCGUAGAGGGGGGGAGAAUUCCAGGUGUAGCGGUGAAAUGCGUAGAGAUCUGGAGGAAUACCGGUGGCGAAGGCGGCCCCCUGGACGAAGACUGACGCUAAGGUGCGAAAGCGUGGGGAGCAAACAGG
This 429-nucleotide ribosomal RNA is filed under the name Chloroflexota bacterium. RNAcentral describes it as "Chloroflexi bacterium partial 16S ribosomal RNA". It matches the Rfam family "Bacterial small subunit ribosomal RNA", at positions 355 to 776 of the family's 1533-position model. The record is from RNAcentral. Lineage: Bacteria; Bacillati; Chloroflexota.